GUCUACGGCCAUACCAUCCUGAAUGCGCCCGAUCUCGUCUGAUCUCAGAAGCUAAGCAGGGUCGGGCCUGGUUAGUACUUGGAUGGGAGAAUUAGUACAUUUUGUAAAUGGAAACA
Molecule: ribosomal RNA, 116 nt
Filed under: Pan troglodytes (chimpanzee)
Lineage: Eukaryota; Metazoa; Chordata; Mammalia; Primates; Hominidae
Source: RNAcentral